RNAcentral lists this long non-coding RNA (4289 nucleotides) under Anneissia japonica. Its description in RNAcentral is "uncharacterized LOC117120773". Lineage: Eukaryota; Metazoa; Echinodermata; Crinoidea; Comatulida; Comatulidae. The record is from RNAcentral.
UUAAAGAGCUGUGUGUGAGAGAUUGAGAAGGUGAAGACGCUAUCACUGCAGACUAUAAUACUGGUUCUUUUCACACCCGGCCGGUGUAUAACAAAACACAGCUCCUCCAAGAAAAGACGUCAUCAAACAUUGUUUAGACAUCACAUAAAGAAGAAAACAGAAAGCACCUUCGCCAUCAGUUACUGCUCAUAAUAGGCCUACAGUACGUGGAGGCAAGAUUAAGUCGGGCAAGUCAGUCUUCAUAGUUGAUAUAUGCAGUAUUGUUUGGAUAGUGAGCAGAAUUCAAGAGGAAUCGAGUAAAAUUUCUUUGAACGGAUUCAAUUUGUGUAAUGUUGAUUUGAAGAUGGAGUUCCAGACGACAGACGAGUAUUCAAGUAUAGGCUUAACAAGGGAAUUGAAUAAAACUAACGAGAGGGGGGUGACGAUUUUACAAGUACGUUUAAUAAAAUAAAGGGUUUGAAAGGCUUUUGAAACAAUAUUUCCGAUAUGAGAGGGCCAUUUUAGAUGGAAGGAAAAGUAACGCCAAGAUAUUUGUGUGAGGAUACUGUACAUAAUCUAAGGUGAAUUCUCAACAAGGUAACUGGGAUAUGGGAUAUUGCGCCUUGUUAUACACAUGACUUUGCAUUUGUCGGUGUUUAGGAUCAUGUUGUUCUGUUCACUCCAUUGUGCAAUAUUGUGUCGCCCUCUACCUGCUGUUUUAGGACUUCGGAAUUUUUAUGUUGGAAAGUUGGUAAUUUCUCUCAUCCCUAUCCAUGUUUUUAUUAUGUUUAAUAUAUUUAUUUUUUUGUCUAUUAAUUACUUCGCUGGAGACAACAGAUGCAUAACAACGCUUGCCAUUAUUGAUCAUUAAUCUGAUCAUGAUAGACGGAUAUACAAAUCAUAUACAACUAUAAUUGCUAACCAAAUGAUUAACCACAUAAUAACAAAACACAACAAAAAUUUUAAAACAGGCUCCCAGCUGGAGCAUGUUUCUACUGCUUUUAUUUUUACUACUUUCAACUCAUCCAAAAUGUUUGGGGCUUCGCCACAAAGACCAAUUUCAAAAGAUUUUAGGUGACGACUAAACAUGCGCACUUUGCUCUUGUCAGAAUUGGACUCCCGUCAGGCAAAUCCUGGUGCCACCCCUCAUAAUUAGUAGGCCCUAGCCUACUAGUCUCUGUUUAUGACCUCUGACCGGCGUGCCAAUGACACCAGCGUACUAUAGACUAAUUUAUACUAAAGUAAUGUAAACUGAAACGUGAUGUAAAAAAACAGACCCAAAAUGAAAUGCCUGAACAAAUUUUUAUCUACCGUAAUAAUGAUAUUACUUAUUAGUAACACAUUAAAAUCAGUAGCUUUUACCUAGGCCUAGAAUUGCCAAAUUUAGUGAAAUAAAAAAUCUAGGCCUACCUACAGUAUAAAGCAUACAGUAGAACUUACAUUUGACAUUGCAGAGCAAAUUCUCCCAAACAGUAUGUAGCUUCAACUUCACAGUUAACUUCUGGAUUGACAAACUGGGCUCAAAGUUUCUACUGCCCAGAGGGCAGUACACACAAAAACCUGCAAAGAAGAAUGAAAAAAAAAAAAAAAAAAAAAAAAAAAAAAUGACUAAAAAAAAAAAAAAAAAAAAAAAAAAAAACAUGACUGACUAAUAGUCAGCUCACUUUAAAUAUUUUCUAUGUCAAUGUUGUACUUUAAUGCGGUUUUAGUAACUCUUAUUAUCUAUUUCAGUUUCAGUACCUUAAGACAGACCGGAAAUUGGAAAAUAUUCAUUAGAGUACUUAUUGGUAAUAUUUGAGUUAACUUUCUACACUGCUGAUGCUAUAAAUUGAUUAUUAAUAUGAAGUAGGAGAUCUUACCCUGUUUUACAUUCAAUUUCUCAGUAUUUGUUGUCAAAAAGAAAACCUCAACUUUGCCCUUUACAGACAACUGUAGCUCGUAAUAUGCAUUCUGUGCACGUAUAGUAAUGAAAACUUAACCCUUGAAAUGUUGAUGAUUAAAGUUUUUGAUUAAUUUCAAAGCGGUUAUACAAAAUCAGGGUUUUAUCGUUGAUGAAUUGCGUUUGCUCUAAAUUAUUUUAUUUAAAUAUCAAAGUGGAAAUUUUUCUUAUAAGUAGUAGGUUGAAAAAUAUGCUGGCUUUUUACAACAGAAUAUUUUUUUGUCAUUUAUUUAGCACUAUCCAUAUAAUAUACUGAAAUGAAUUAGCUUAGCAUUUGACAGUGCUCACAGCGCCUAGGCUAGAUAUAUUAGUGAAUCAGUAAAUUAAGGGGCAAAAGCUCCUAGAAAAUCAGCUGGUUCCUCUCCACUUCCAUGUGCAUGCAAAACCAAACCAUCUACAAAUUCAGAUUGCUGGCCAUGGGUAUUGCCACCCUAAGCAAAAUACAGUGUGUAUUAAGGAAGUUUGUUAAAUAAGAUCUCGCAUCAAUGGUUUAUCUUAACCUAUAAACAUACCAUAAAUCUGCUGUUUAACAUGUUGACUUCCAGACCUUGUUUGUCCCACCUACAAACAUACUUUUUCGAAAUUUUAUCAAGUCACAUCAUCAAAAUGGUGUGUCUAAUAAUUGGCGGUAAAAUGUUAGGGGAUGAGUAAACUCAUGGCUGGCAGUGGGACAGUACUUUUUAUUGCCUCUGCCAAGUGUGAGUUUUCUCAUCUAGUUUUUGUAUGGCUUGGUACAGUACAGUAUAUGUUCAGAUAGUGCCUCCACACAUGAAAUCUUGUGUACUGCUGGCAACAUUACACAAUAAAAGCAUUGUCUAGGUGUAUCUUCCCCGAACUACCAGCCCUAAGUCUGUGGUUCUACAAUGUGUAACAAUAAAGUAAUAAACUCUUAAAUGUAACCAGGUUUUGAUGAGUAUAGUCAUCCCUAUCGCCCUCAGCAGCACCUGGAGGGAUGAGUACACUUGUCGCUGGCAGUGAACGUAUUUAAGAAGCUCAAAAUGUUCCAAAACUCUGCUUAGCCAUUUUACCAAGAAAUAUUUAAAGAAACAAGGUUUAACAUUUUUGUUUUAAUUUUUAGAUUAUUUUUAAAAACUGUUUUAAGCCUUUAUUAAACAAUACUUACAAUGGCUUUGCAACAUUCGCUGAACAUGGUGAAUUUGUAACGUUAUUUCCUCGAGCAGUUCAAUUACAGAGGUUUUGACAUUUGUUAAUAGGUUUUUAAUUACAAUUUUCUUGAAUGUUUGUAUUCUACUGACGUCACUACCACGCCACUCGCAUGAGGAAUCGCAGAGAUUGGUUAAGAGUUCAAAGGCAAACCCUAGUUUACUUCAAUAAAUACAAAGUGGAGCGAGUCUCAUAUUCUAUAAUGGUCUUUUUCUCGUAUCUACAACUGUGUUAUUUUUGUUUGCAUUUUAAAUAAAAACGAAAAUAAUUGUUUAUUGAAACGAACAAUCAUUUUAUUCAUGAUAAUGAUUGAAUAUUGUACAAGAAUAUAUGGUAGGCCAAGUGGCGGGGCAAAGGGGAAUUUUCCCCCCAAAAAAUUGGCUUACCUUCCCCCCAGUUCUUCCCCAAAAAAGAAGGAAAACCACAAUUCGUUGGGGAGAAAAAAAAAUUAUAAGUAUUUUAUAGAUAUUAGUAGACUAUCUACAGUAUCUAUAAAAUCGAUUAAAUAACAAAUAACAAAGUUCUAUUUAGAUAACCCUCCGAAACCCCGACCACUUCCACUUUGCUCUCGUCGGGGAACUUGGCCCUCACUUGCUCCCCCUCCCCCUAAUUUUCAGAGGCUGGUGCUGCCACUGGGUAAACCUAGGAAUAUCAUUUUGAUUGCAAAAGUAUGUGUUAGUGUUGUAUUGCUAUUAUAGGUUACGAAGAGCUUAUUUUGUUUUAGCGUAAAUACAUUGCCGUGUGUCAUUGUUAUUGGCUGAAAAAUAAAAAUAGAAAAAUUGCCAAUGAGUGCUGCAGCAUGUUUACUAUUAAUAUAUGCCAUUCAUGUCCUUAACUUGUCAUAGCUUCCGAGGAUUUUUCCGGACUUUUCCGAGGGCUUGUAGCGGCCACUCCUCAUCCACUUACGCUCCCGAAGCCCAUCAAUCAUGACUGGGUUAUUGAGCUGACAAAUAAUUUUACAUUUUUUCUAAAAGUGUCGAUAGGCAUUCUAUGCAUCAUAUGCAGGAAUCCUGUGAGAGAACAAUUGUUUGCUCUAGAGUACUACGCUGUUAUGUCAAUACCACAUGAUAAUACUCUAUCAGCUACUCAGAAUGAAGUCGGAUCCAUUGUCUUCACUGACAAACCAUUGAUCCCAAUUUCUAACGUAAUUAUUAAGAUCAUAAUUUUUCUUUGUAAAUUUUAAUUGAUGAUUAAAUAUGUGUUUGAU